UAAAGAGCUCGUAGGUGUUAGAUACGUCAGAUGUGAAAAUCAGGGCUCAACCCGUGACCUGCAUCCGAUACGUCGGGCUAGAGUUUGGUAGGGGAGACUGGAAUUCGUGUGUAGCAGUGGAAUGCGCAGAUAUCAGGAGGAACACCGAUGGCGAAGGCAUGUCUCUGGCCAAUACUGACACUGAGGAGCGAAAGCGUGGGGAGCGAACAGGAUUAGAUACCCUGGUAGUCCACGCCGUAAACGAUGGGCGCUAGUUGUGCGUCCUUCCACGGCAGUGCGACGCAGCUAACGCAUUAAGCGCNCCGCGUGAGGAGUACGAUCGCAAGAUUAAAACUCAAAGGAAUUGACGGGGCCCCCCACAAGCAGCGGAGCAUGCGGAUUAAUUUGACGCAACGAGAAGAUCCUUCCCAAGGCUUAACAUAUACAGGAAUAUGGCAGAGAUGUCAUAUCCGCAAGGUCUGUAUACACGUGGUGCAUGGUUGUCUUCAGCUCGUGUCUUGAGAUGUUGGGUUAAGUCUCGCAACGAGCGCAACCCUCGUUUCGUGUUGCCAGCAUUAAGUUGGGGACUCACAGGAGACUGCCGGGGUUAACUCGGAGGAAGGUGGGGAUGACGUCAAAUCAUCAUGCCCCUUAUGUCUUGGGCUGCACGCAUUCUACAAUGGCUGGUACAAACGGGUGCGAUACCCCAAGGUGGAGCGAAUCCGAUAAAACCAGUCUCAGUUCGGAUUGGGGUCUGCAACUCGACCCCAUGAAGUUGGAGUUGCUAGUAAUCGUAGAUCAGCAACGUUACGGUGAAUACGUUCCCGGGUCUUGUACACACCGCCCGUCACAUCACGAAAGUCGGUUACACCCAAAGUCAGUGGCCCAACCGUAAGGAGGGAGCUGCCAAAGGCGGGAUCGGUGAUUGGGAUGAAGUCGUAACAAGGUA
RNAcentral lists this ribosomal RNA (928 nucleotides) under uncultured bacterium. RNAcentral describes it as "bacterial SSU rRNA". It matches the Rfam family "Bacterial small subunit ribosomal RNA", at positions 561 to 1498 of the family's 1533-position model. The record is from RNAcentral.